RNAcentral lists this ribosomal RNA (1346 nucleotides) under uncultured bacterium. Its description in RNAcentral is "partial 16S ribosomal RNA". It matches the Rfam family "Bacterial small subunit ribosomal RNA", at positions 28 to 1381 of the family's 1533-position model. The record is from RNAcentral.
GACGAACGCUGGCGGCGUGCUUAACACAUGCAAGUCGAACGGAAAGGCCCUGCUUUUGUGGGGUGCUCGAGCGGCGAACGGGUGAGCAACACGUGAGUAACCUGCCCUUGACUUUGGGAUAACUUCAGGAAACUGGGGCUAAUACCGGAUAGGAGCUCCUGCUGCAUGGUGGGGGUUGGAAAGUUUCGGCGGUUGGGGAUGGACUCGCGGCUUAUCAGCUUGUUGGUGGGGUAGUGGCUUACCAAGGCUUUGACGGGUAGCCGGCCUGAGAGGGUGACCGGCCACAUUGGGACUGAGAUACGGCCCAGACUCCUACGGGAGGCAGCAGUGGGGAAUAUUGCACAAUGGGCGGAAGCCUGAUGCAGCAACGCCGCGUGCGGGAUGACGGCCUUCGGGUUGUAAACCGCUUUCGCCUGUGACGAAGCGUGAGUGACGGUAAUGGGUAAAGAAGCACCGGCUAACUACGUGCCAGCAGCCGCGGUGAUACGUAGGGUGCGAGCGUUGUCCGGAUUUAUUGGGCGUAAAGGGCUCGUAGGUGGUUGAUCGCGUCGGAAGUGUAAUCUUGGGGCUUAACCCUGAGCGUGCUUUCGAUACGGGUUGACUUGAGGAAGGUAGGGGAGAAUGGAAUUCCUGGUGGAGCGGUGGAAUGCGCAGAUAUCAGGAGGAACACCAGUGGCGAAGGCGGUUCUCUGGGCCUUUCCUGACGCUGAGGAGCGAAAGCGUGGGGAGCGAACAGGCUUAGAUACCCUGGUAGUCCACGCUGUAAACGGUGGGUACUAGGUGUGGGGUCCAUUCCACGGGUUCCGUGCCGUAGCUAACGCUUUAAGUACCCCGCCUGGGGAGUACGGCCGCAAGGCUAAAACUCAAAGGAAUUGACGGGGCCCCGCACAAGCGGCGGAGCAUGCGGAUUAAUUCGAUGCAACGCGUAGAACCUUACCUGGGUUUGACAUGGAUCGGGAGUGCUCAGAGAUGGGUGUGCCUCUUUUGGGGUCGGUUCACAGGUGGUGCAUGGCUGUCGUCAGCUCGUGUCGUGAGAUGUUGGGUUAAGUCCCGCAACGAGCGCAACCCUUGUUCACUGUUGCCAGCACGUUAUGGUGGGGACUCAGUGGAGACCGCCGGGGUCAACUCGGAGGAAGGUGGGGAUGACGUCAAGUCAUCAUGCCCCUUAUGUCCAGGGCUUCACGCAUGCUACAAUGGCUGGUACAGAGAGUGGCGAGCCUGUGAGGGUGAGCGAAUCUCGGAAAGCCGGUCUCAGUUCGGAUUGGGGUCUGCAACUCGACCUCAUGAAGUCGGAGUCGCUAGUAAUCGCAGAUCAGCAACGCUGCGGUGAAUACGUUCCCGGGGCU